This 163-nucleotide ribosomal RNA is filed under the name uncultured bacterium. RNAcentral's name for it is "partial 16S ribosomal RNA". It matches the Rfam family "Bacterial small subunit ribosomal RNA", at positions 1330 to 1500 of the family's 1533-position model. The record is from RNAcentral.
AUUCGCUAGUAAUCGCGCAUCAACCAUGGCGCGGUGAAUACGUUCCCGGGCCUUGUACACACCGCCCGUCAAGCCAUGGGAGCCGGGGGUGCCUGAAGUUCGUGACCGCAAGGAGCGACCUAGGGCAAAACUGGUGACUGGGGCUAAGUCGUAACAAGGUACC